GUGGGGAAUAUUGGACAAUGGGGGGAACCCUGAUCCAGCCAUGCCGCGUGUGUGAAGAAGGCCUUUUGGUUGUAAAGCACUUUAAGCGAGGAGGAGGCUACCGAGAUUAAUACUCUUGGAUAGUGGACGUUACUCGCAGAAUAAGCACCGGCUAACUCUGUGCCAGCAGCCGCGGUAAUACAGAGGGUGCGAGCGUUAAUCGGAUUUACUGGGCGUAAAGCGCGCGUAGGUGGUUAAUUAAGUCAAAUGUGAAAUCACCGAGCUUAACUUGGGAAUUGCAUUCGAUACUGGUUAGCUAGAGUAUGGGAGAGGAUGGUAGAAUUCCAGGUGUAGCGGUGAAAUGCGUAGAGAUCUGGAGGAAUACCGAUGUCGAAGGCAGCCAUCUGGCCUAAUACUGACACUGAGGUGCGAAAGCAUGGGGAGCAAACAGGAUUAGAAACCCGAGUAGUCC
RNAcentral lists this ribosomal RNA (451 nucleotides) under uncultured bacterium. RNAcentral describes it as "partial 16S ribosomal RNA". It matches the Rfam family "Bacterial small subunit ribosomal RNA", at positions 354 to 796 of the family's 1533-position model. The record is from RNAcentral.